This 1075-nucleotide long non-coding RNA is filed under the name Rattus norvegicus (Norway rat). Its description in RNAcentral is "long non-coding RNA NONRATT014902". The record is from RNAcentral. Lineage: Eukaryota; Metazoa; Chordata; Mammalia; Rodentia; Muridae.
GAGAGAGCCAAGAAAAGCUUAUUAGAAAACAAACUUUAGUGAAUCCAGUGAGUAUACAACAAAGACCUCCAGAAGAUGAUUAUCCACAGGGUUAUCAGAAAUUCGAAUAGCAACCCCUGGAUGUGUUAGAAAUGAGGAAAUUUAAGGAAAGUGUCACUAAUUUUGGAAUGCAUUCACCAUUGUAAAACAAAUCCUGAAUUCUUGAGCUACUAAAAAUAGGGUAAUCACCUAAGACUGUAAAGAUAAGGCAAAGCAAUACUAGGACCUGAACCACAUUUAUAAUGGUUCUCAUGGUGGAGAGGAAGAGACGGAGUUAACAUAACAAAACAGAUCCAUGGGUAGAUCAGCUAUUUCGUGAAGUUUGCUUUGCUGAGAUAGAGGUUCAGGCUAUAUAUAGUGAAGAAACUCUGGCAUUGUGUUGAUUGUUAGUCUUAAAGACCUAGAACAAAGUCACAAAAUCAGGGAAAUGUCUUCAACUGAACCAUGUACUCAAAUCAUGCCAGGGCCAAAGGAAACCUUCCCUGACUUUUUGCAAAGGCUAACCUCAGCUGUAGAAAUGGAUGUGUCAGAUUCAGCAGCAAGAAAGGAAAUAAUUGAGUCUUUAGCCUUUGAAAAUGCAAAUGCUAAGUGCAAGGAAGUAUUCAGACCACUGAAGAUGUUGUCAGCAUUAAUAGAUGAGUGGGUUAGACAUAUACCUUAUGUUAGAGCUUACUUGCCUGAUAUGGCAGUAAAAGGAGAAGAUGCCAUUAGUAACCUAGACACCACACAAGAUAUCAAAUGUUUUAAUUGUGGUGAGCAGGGUCAUCUCAGAAAUAACUGCAGAAAAAAUCAAAGUAAUCCUCAAAGUGUGACUUUGCCUUUUGGAAUAUGUCAGAGAUGUGGCACAAGCUGACAUUUGGCUAGGGAUUAUAAAGCAACAACAAAUGGGACAAUACUCUGCCAAAAAAAUCCCAGGAGGGUUCUUGUAGGCCCCAAUGUCAGGCAGGUAGAGUCCUCUUCUUAAAGAGAGUUAAAUGUAACUGCUUCAAAAACAGAUGCUUUGUAACCAGAUAAUGAGGCUGACGUAAGACAAGUC